This 253-nucleotide ribosomal RNA is filed under the name uncultured bacterium. Its description in RNAcentral is "partial 16S ribosomal RNA". It matches the Rfam family "Bacterial small subunit ribosomal RNA", at positions 524 to 776 of the family's 1533-position model. The record is from RNAcentral. RNAcentral also lists the same sequence under 1 other name.
UACGUAGGGGGCAAGCGUUGUCCGGAUUUAUUGGGCGUAAAGCGCGUGUAGGCGGCCAGGUAGGUCGGUUGUGAAAACUGGAGGCUCAACCUCCAGACGUCGACCGAAACCAUCUGGCUAGAGUCCGGAAGAGGAGAGUGGAAUUCCUGGUGUAGCGGUGAAAUGCGCAGAUAUCAGGAAGAACACCGAUGGCGAAGGCAGCUCUCUGGGACGGUACUGACGCUGAGACGCGAAAGCGUGGGGAGCGAACAGG